This 529-nucleotide ribosomal RNA is filed under the name uncultured Chloroflexota bacterium. RNAcentral's name for it is "bacterial SSU rRNA". It matches the Rfam family "Bacterial small subunit ribosomal RNA", at positions 352 to 896 of the family's 1533-position model. Lineage: Bacteria; Bacillati; Chloroflexota. The record is from RNAcentral.
CAGUGAGGAAUAUUGCGCAAUGGGCGAAAGCCUGACGCAGCAACGCCGCGUGAGGGACGAAGGCCUUCGGGUCGUAAACCUCUUUUCCGGGGGACGAGACAAGGACGGUACCCUGGGAAUAAGUCUCGGCUAACUACGUGCCAGCAGCCGCGGUAAAACGUAGGAGGGGAGCGUUAUCCGGAUUUACUGGGCGUAAAGCGCACGCAGGUGGCACAGCAAGUUGGUUGUGAAAGCUCCUGGCUUAACUGGGAGAGGCCAAUCGAAACUGCUGAGCUUGAGGUUGGAAGAGGGGUGCGGAAUUCCCGGUGUAGCGGUGGAAUGCGUAGAUAUCGGGAGGAACACCAGUGGCGAAGGCGGCACCCUGGUCCACACCUGACGCUGAGGUGCGAAAGCGUGGGGAGUAAACAGGAUUAGAUACCCUGGUAAUCCACGCCGUAAACGAUGUCAACUGGGUGUCGGUAGUGUUACACUAUCGGUGCCGAAGCUAACGCGUUAAGUUGACCGCCUGGGGACUACGGCCGCAAGGCUA